Mus musculus (house mouse) is the source of this 755-nucleotide long non-coding RNA. RefSeq annotates it as predicted gene 10631. Lineage: Eukaryota; Metazoa; Chordata; Mammalia; Rodentia; Muridae. The transcript is spliced from 3 exons. The record is from RefSeq and is a predicted model, not a curated record.
GUAACCAUGACAACAAGAAGAGCAAAGAAACCCUGUACUGUGAAUGUCUCCCAAAGGCCCAUGCAUUUAUGGCAAAUGGUAGAGCCCUUAAGAGUUGGGGCCUUGCCAGAAAGUCAGAUCACCAGGGAUAUACUUUUGAAGAGGAUGUUGGGAAUCCAAGGGCUUCCUUGCCUUCACCAGGCAAACAGGAUUCCUCUAUCAUUGCUACAAUGUUCAUCACUUGCCCCAAAACACAUGUCCAACUGACCAUGGGCUGAAGCCGCAUCCUCCCUAAAGUUAAUUGCCCUGGUAUUCUGUCACAGCAGCAAAAAGUCUUCUCGUUUUCCCAAGGGGACUGCUGUGGAGAGCUGAUGGAGGUGCCCUCAAGGGGCAGAGACAAGCUGAGGUAUCUGACGGUGAAAUGGGAUUGGACAUUAACUGACCUACAACCCAGCCCUUUGUGGCUGAUGUCUGCCCAACUCCCAGGAGCCUGAGAAGUAUGCUACAUCCCCAGGGUCUGCAGGCGCUGGCCAAUCAGUUUUCAGCAGUGGUUUAGCACCAUUUAACCAGCCACCUUGCUCUCUGCUCCAGGUAGAUGUGACUCUUACACUCUCCACAGACUUCUCAAGCUCUGACUCCUGGACAGAGGUCUUUCUUUGGGAAACUGCUGGGCUGGGUCUUCUUUCUGGACCUGAAUGAGCGUCUUCAGUCUGCAUGGUGGCAGAGCCCAGAGGGCACUGGCUUCAUUUACUUCUUCAUUUGCUCAGUCAACAAUG